UCUGAACACUAUAUAUAUGUAAUCUGACAUUUAUUUAUUUUUAUUUUUUUUUUUUACAGAAAUUCUGAGCUGCUGCAUGAACAUUCAUCAAACAUAUAAGGUCAAGGGGACUGAAGAGGUGGCUCCAGCAGAUCAGAAGAGAGGACUUCAGGAGGCAGACACACUCUUAAUCAGCUGAUCCAGCCGUAUCCAGAUCAGACGGUGGACCUGCACCAGGAGCGACCACAACACAUCCCUGACUGUCAGCGGAGACCGUGUCAGCUAGAUGACAGAUCCCUGUGAAGACCUCACUGAUGACCCCAGCACAGAUCCUCAGCAAAGACUACGAGAACCAGACCCUCUGCACAGACCCUCUCUACCAGCUUCUCACUGACAACAGUAACGCCGCUCGCAUCAUUCACAGUCGGGUUAUUAUCAGAGAACAGAGCAGAACUUGAAUUUCAGCGCGAGACUGCGGCUAUUAAUAAUCAUUCUACUCGU
Onychostoma macrolepis is the source of this 480-nucleotide long non-coding RNA. RefSeq lists it as uncharacterized. The transcript has 3 exons. The record is from RefSeq and is a predicted model, not a curated record. Lineage: Eukaryota; Metazoa; Chordata; Actinopteri; Cypriniformes; Cyprinidae.